AAAAUUGCUAAGAACAGAUGAGUAAGUGGGGCUAAAGUUGACAGAGAGUCGCAGGUGCUGAGAAGCGAUACUUUAAAGACACUGAAUAUGGUCUGGGAGCAAAUCAAAUAAUGAACUGAAAGUAAAUUAUUUGCGGGGUAACGCUCGAUAUUGCGUUCAAGUAUAGCUUGUACAGUGUACUUGUAAAGGUUAAUUUCGUGAGAAAUUAACGAAUUUUUGGGUGGUACCACGCGUCAGCGUCCCUAUU
This 247-nucleotide non-coding RNA is filed under the name Bombilactobacillus mellifer. Its description in RNAcentral is "Lactobacillus mellifer T-box sequence". It matches the Rfam family "T-box leader". From Rfam's summary of the family: Uncharged tRNA acts as the effector for transcription antitermination of genes in the T-box leader family. T-boxes are found upstream of many aminoacyl-tRNA synthetase genes and some amino acid biosynthetic genes usually in Gram-positive bacteria. Lineage: Bacteria; Bacillati; Bacillota; Bacilli; Lactobacillales; Lactobacillaceae. The record is from RNAcentral.